RNAcentral lists this long non-coding RNA (1115 nucleotides) under Homo sapiens (human). RNAcentral describes it as "HSALNT0392073". The record is from RNAcentral. Lineage: Eukaryota; Metazoa; Chordata; Mammalia; Primates; Hominidae.
UGGGGAGUGAGCAAAUAAUCCCCUCCACCUCCACACUCCCGAGUAAGCCUGAGGGGCCUUCCAGGGAGCUUCGGAGAACCCCACCUAUAACCCAAUCAGGGAGGUUGGUAGAAUGAAACCGAAAAGGAAGGAAAAAAGCAUGUACCUGCCAAGCUGGUUUCCGCUGGGUUAAAGGCCUCUGUGAAGGCAUCAUUUACCUAAAAUCAUCCAACAUUGACACUGUCACCAAGGUGGCAGUCCCUGAAUCUUGGGCCCGAGUCUCCUGCUCAAGAGGGUCACCUGUGACUCCCUCCUCUCUCAGGCCUUCCAAUACAGCCACAGCCACCCAUAUAAUUGCCCCCAAGUGCUUGGCUAGGUCUCAAUAGUGACAGGGUGCAGCUGGAAGAUCGACGUCUCAGGAGCUGAUUUACUUCUCGAAGAACCGAGUUGGACCUUACCACCACUCAUUUUGGCCCUGACCCCAUCCUGUCUUUGGGCCUGUGGAGCAGAGUGGUCAAGCCAUUCCUACUGCAGGGCAGCUGGAGUGGGGCCUUUAGAAUGAAUCUGAGCCAGAUUCCAGCAAAGUUCAACACACUCAAGCUCUGCACCCUCAGGAUGAUGUAGCCCACGGUGCCUGGCUGGACCAAGAAGAAUGAGGACCAGGGCUGUGCUAGAACCAGGGUUUCACCAUGUUGCCCAGGCUGGUCUUGAAAUCCUGACCUCAAGUGAUCUGCCUGCCUCAGCCUCCCAGAGUGUUGGAAUUACAGACACUGUGUCCCUAGGAUGUUCCUUGUUCGGAAUCCAGCCUCAUCAGCCAUCCCACGGCCCGACAGAAGCAUCCUGACAUCAUCAAUCCACAAGAGACCAAACGUCUGCUGAGCCCAGAAUGAAUCAGACAAGAGAAAGGUUAGGCGGCCAGGGGGAGCUAAAAGCCCCUAAAAGUUUAAAGAGAUCCUACCAAAUGGGUGGUUGGCUCCCACAGAGAUUAGUUUUAAUCAAUUAUUAAGCAAUAGUUUAAUAUUUUAAGAGUCUGCUCAAUCACAGAGAAAUGAAAACAUUUCAUGACUUUUUUCCCUACAUCUUCCAAAGCAAAAAAUGUAAAGCAAGUGUACCUCCAGUGACACAUUUUUAAAAAA